RNAcentral lists this small RNA (470 nucleotides) under Pan troglodytes (chimpanzee). RNAcentral describes it as "processed transcript". The record is from RNAcentral. Lineage: Eukaryota; Metazoa; Chordata; Mammalia; Primates; Hominidae.
CCCCAACUCACUCUUCGACAUCCAGGUGAAGCGGAUUCACGAAUAUAAACGACAGCUCCUCAACUGCCUCCAUGUCAUCACCCUGUACAACCGCAUCAAGAGGGAGCCCAAUAAGUUUUUUGUGCCUCGGACUGUGAUGAUUGGAGGGAAGGCUGCACCUGGGUACCACAUGGCCAAGAUGAUCAUCAGACUCGUCACAGCCAUUGGGGAUGUGGUCAACCAUGACCCGGCAGUGGGUGACCGCCUCCGUGUCAUCUUCCUGGAGAACUACCGAGUCUCACUGGCCGAGAAAGGUGGGUGCUGCCAACAGGGACCCUAGGGAGGCUCUGACUAGUUCAGUCUCAGGAAGAGGUAUCAGUCGUCUCUUCCUGGGAUACUUGUACUUGAAAGAAGAAUCUGGAGAGGGCAAUGCUUAAACCAUGAGGAGGCCAGGCGCAGUGGCCCAUGCCUGUAAUCCCAGCACUUUGGGA